This 301-nucleotide ribosomal RNA is filed under the name uncultured bacterium. Its description in RNAcentral is "partial 16S ribosomal RNA". It matches the Rfam family "Bacterial small subunit ribosomal RNA", at positions 509 to 807 of the family's 1533-position model. The record is from RNAcentral.
CAGUAGCCACGGUAAUACGAAGGGUGCAAGCGUUAAUCGGAAUUACUGGGCGUAAAGCGUGCGUAGGUGGUGGUUUAAGUCCGUUGUGAAGGCCCUGGGCUCAACCUGGGAAUUGCAGUGGAUACUGGGUCACUAGAGUGUGGUAGAGGAUAGUGGAAUUUCCGGUGUAGCAGUGAAAUGCGUAGAGAUCGGAAGGAACAUCUGUGGCGAAGGCGACUAUCUGGGCCAACACUGACACUGAGGCACGAAAGCGUGGGGAGCAAACAGGAUUAGAUACCCCCGUAGUCCCUGUCUCUUAUAC